UCUUUUAGAGUUUGAGUUGUAAUUUUGAGAACUGUUUUCUGUGCUGGACCAUGUACAAGUCUGUUGAAAAACAGCAUCAUUGAGGGUGAUAAUCCCGUUCAUGAUAUGGACUACCAGUGCUAUAUGAUACAGUCUCUAAGAGUCGAGUUGUUUGGGAAUGCAGCUCAAAGUGGGUGGUAAAUUCCAUCUAAGGCUAAAUAUAGGUGAGAGACCGAUAGCAAACAAGUACCGUGAGGGAAAGAUGAAAAGAACUUUGGAAAGAGAGUUAACAGUACGUGAAAUUGCUGUAAGGGAAACAAUUGAAGUUAGCCUUGUUAUUGUCAGUUCAGCUCUUUUAGGGUGUAUUCUGAUGGUUAACUGAUCAACAUCAGUCUUUGGGUGUUGGAUAAGGGUAUAGGAAAUGUAGCAGCUUAGGCUGUGUUAUAGUCCUUUACUUUGAUACAGUGCUUAGGAUUGAGGAUUGCAGUAAGCCAUUAAUUUGGUGGAUCAAUUUAUUGGUCUUCUUACUGAGGAUGUUGAUGAAAUAGCUUCAACUGACCCGUCUUGAAACA
This 551-nucleotide ribosomal RNA is filed under the name Pucciniales sp. RNAcentral's name for it is "partial large subunit ribosomal RNA". It matches the Rfam family "Eukaryotic large subunit ribosomal RNA", at positions 127 to 661 of the family's 3401-position model. The record is from RNAcentral. Lineage: Eukaryota; Fungi; Basidiomycota; Pucciniomycetes; Pucciniales.